ACUCUUCUCUGUUUCAUGCAAAUACACGUGACUGAGAUUCUUGUAAAAUCAAAACAGAAACUGCAGAGAUGAGGCCUAUAAUGUUCAGUCCUAUAUAGGUCUACUCAGAAGUGAACCCCAUUGAGUUCCUGGGAAAUUCACUCUAAAUAACAUUAACAA
Zootoca vivipara (common lizard) is the source of this 159-nucleotide non-coding RNA. The record is from RefSeq and is a predicted model, not a curated record. NCBI's taxonomy places the organism in Eukaryota, Metazoa, Chordata, Lepidosauria, Squamata, Lacertidae.